CUGAGAGUGGCGCACGGGUGCGUAACGCGUAUGCAACCUACCCUUAACAGGGGGAUAGCCCAGAGAAAUUUGGAUUAAUACCCCAUAGUAUUACAAGAUGGCAUCUGAAAGUAAUUAAAGAUUUAUCGGUUAAGGAUGGGCAUGCGUGACAUUAGAUAGUUGGUGAGGUAACGGCUCACCAAGUCAACGAUGUCUAGGGGUUCUGAGAGGAUGAUCCCCCACACUGGUACUGAGAUACGGACCAGACUCCUACGGGAGGCAGCAGUAGGGAAUAUUGGUCAAUGGGCGAGAGCCUGAACCAGCCAUGCCGCGUGCAGGAAGACGGCUUUCUGAGUUGUAAACUGCUUUUGUACGGGAAGAAAAUGCCCUUGCGAGGGAAAUUGCCGGUACCGUACGAAUAAGCACCGGCUAACUCCGUGCCAGCAGCCGCGGUAAUACGGAGGGUGCAAGCGUUGUCCGGAUUUAUUGGGUUUAAAGGGUGCGUAGGCGGAUCUUUAAGUCAGUGGUGAAAUCCUGCAGCUUAACUGUAGAACUGCCAUUGAUACUGGAGUUCUUGAGUGUACUAGAGGUAGGCGGAAUUUAUGGUGUAGCGGUGAAAUGCAUAGAUACCAUAAAGAACACCGAUAGCGUAGGCAGCUUACUGGAGUACAACUGACGCUGAGGCACGAAAGCAUGGGUAGCGAACAGGAUUAGAUACCCUGGUAGUCCAUGCCGUAAACGAUGAUUACUCGAUGUUGGCGAUAC
RNAcentral lists this ribosomal RNA (744 nucleotides) under Roseivirga sp. CUA-859. RNAcentral describes it as "bacterial SSU rRNA". It matches the Rfam family "Bacterial small subunit ribosomal RNA", at positions 89 to 832 of the family's 1533-position model. The record is from RNAcentral. Lineage: Bacteria; Pseudomonadati; Bacteroidota; Cytophagia; Cytophagales; Roseivirgaceae.